UAGCCAUGAUAGAUUCUAAUUCGAAUUUCUCAGACUUCGUCCAUGGCUGAACUUCCCCAAGGACAGAUUUCUACAGCAACCCAACUCCACCCAUAUUUCUACGGCGGUCGACCGCCUUUCUAAUUUCAGCCGAGCUCCUACGGGAGCCGGACCUCUGCCCCGAAUUUCUAUUGCAGGUAGACUUCAUCCGAGCCACUAUUACAAACGGUCUACUCCGAACUCCCACCAUAAAUGGUCUACUCCGAGCUUCUAUUACAAGCAACCUACUCUG
This 271-nucleotide long non-coding RNA is filed under the name Elaeis guineensis (African oil palm). RNAcentral's name for it is "long non-coding RNA (EGUI_LNC077044)". Lineage: Eukaryota; Viridiplantae; Streptophyta; Magnoliopsida; Arecales; Arecaceae. The record is from RNAcentral.